GAGUUUGAUCGUGGCUCAGAACGAACGCUGGCGGCAUGCCUAACACAUGCAAGUCGAACGAAGGCUUCGGCCUUAGUGGCGCACGGGUGCGUAACGCGUGGGAAUCUGCCCUUUGCUUCGGAAUAACAGUGGGAAACUACUGCUAAUACCGGAUGAUGUCUUCGGACCAAGGAUUUAUCGGCAAGGGAUGAGCCCGCGUAGGAUUAGGUAGUUGGUGGGGUAAAGGCCUACCAAGCCGACGAUCCUUAGCUGGUCUGAGAGGAUGAUCAGCCACACUGGGACUGAGACACGGCCCAGACUCCUACGGGAGGCAGCAGUGGGGAAUAUUGGACAAUGGGGGGAACCCUGAUCCAGCAAUGCCGCGUGAGUGAUGAAGGCCUUAGGGUUGUAAAGCUCUUUUACCAGGGAUGAUAAUGACAGUACCUGGAGAAUAAGCUCCGGCUAACUCCGUGCCAGCAGCCGCCGCGGUAAU
This 472-nucleotide ribosomal RNA is filed under the name uncultured Alphaproteobacteria bacterium. Its description in RNAcentral is "bacterial SSU rRNA". It matches the Rfam family "Bacterial small subunit ribosomal RNA", at positions 9 to 524 of the family's 1533-position model. The record is from RNAcentral. Lineage: Bacteria; Pseudomonadati; Pseudomonadota; Alphaproteobacteria.